AAGGACUCAACGACCAAAGGAU
RNAcentral lists this microRNA (22 nucleotides) under Nematostella vectensis (starlet sea anemone). Its description in RNAcentral is "nve-miR-9459". Lineage: Eukaryota; Metazoa; Cnidaria; Anthozoa; Actiniaria; Edwardsiidae. The record is from miRBase by way of RNAcentral.